This 1026-nucleotide ribosomal RNA is filed under the name Diaporthe sp. RNAcentral describes it as "SSU rRNA". It matches the Rfam family "Eukaryotic small subunit ribosomal RNA", at positions 73 to 1108 of the family's 1831-position model. Lineage: Eukaryota; Fungi; Ascomycota; Sordariomycetes; Diaporthales; Diaporthaceae. The record is from RNAcentral.
CAUAAACGGCGAAACUGCGAAUGGCUCAUUAAAUCAGUUAUCGUAUAUUUGAUAGUACCUACUACAUGGAUAACCGUGGUAAUUCUAGAGCUAAUACAUGCUUAAAAUCCCGACUUCGGAAGGGAUGUAUUUAUUAGAUUAAAAACCAAUGCCCUUCGGGGCUCACUGGUGAUUCAUAAUAACUUCUCGAAUCGCAUGGCCUUGUGCCGGCGAUGGUUCAUUCAAAUUUCUGCCCUAUCAACUUUCGACGGCUGGGUCUUGGCCAGCCGUGGUUACAACGGGUAACGGAGGGUUAGGGCUUGACCCCGGAGAAGGAGCCUGAGAAACGGCUACUACAUCCAAGGAAGGCAGCAGGCGCGCAAAUUACCCAAUCCCGACUCGGGGAGGUAGUGACAAUAAAUACUGAUACAGGGCUCUUUUGGGUCUUGUAAUUGGAAUGAGUACAAUUUAAAUCCCUUAACGAGGAACAAUUGGAGGGCAAGUCUGGUGCCAGCAGCCGCGGUAAUUCCAGCUCCAAUAGCGUAUAUUAAAGUUGUUGCAGUUAAAAAGCUCGUAGUUGAACCUUGGGCCUGGCUGGCCGGUCUGCCUCACCGCAUGCACUGGUCCGGCCGGGCCUUUCCCUCUGGGGAGCCGCAUGCCCUUCACUGGGUGUGUCGGGGAACCAGGACUUUUACUGUGAAAAAAUUAGAGUGUUCAAAGCAGGCAUAUGCUCGAAUACAUUAGCAUGGAAUAAUAGAAUAGGACGUCGCGGUUCUAUUUUGUUGGUUUCUAGGACCGCCGUAAUGAUUAAUAGGGACAGUCGGGGGCAUCAGUAUUCAAUCGUCAGAGGUGAAAUUCUUGGAUCGAUUGAAGACUAACUACUGCGAAAGCAUUUGCCAAGGAUGUUUUCAUUAAUCAGGAACGAAAGUUAGGGGAUCGAAAAACGAUCAGAUACCGUUGUAGUCUUAACCAUAAACUAUGCCGACUAGGGAUCGGGCGGUGUUAUUUCUUGACCCGCUCGGCACCUUACACGAAAGUAAAGUUUUU